Molecule: non-coding RNA, 21 nt
Organism: Caenorhabditis elegans
Lineage: Eukaryota; Metazoa; Nematoda; Chromadorea; Rhabditida; Rhabditidae
Source: Ensembl
UGGGAAUAAUAAAUAGUCUAA